GUGCCUAAUACAUGCAGUCGAACGCGUUGGCCCAAUUGAUUGAUGGUGCUUGCACCUGAUUGAUUUUGGUCGCCAACGAGUGGCGGACGGGUGAGUAACACGUAGGUAACCUGCCCAGAAGCGGGGGACAACAUUUGGAAACAGAUGCUAAUACCGCAUAACAACGUUGUUCGCAUGAACAACGCUUAAAAGAUGGCUUCUCGCUAUCACUUCUGGAUGGACCUGCGGUGCAUUAGCUUGUUGGUGGGGUAAUGGCCUACCAAGGCGAUGAUGCAUAGCCGAGUUGAGAGACUGAUCGGCCACAAUGGGACUGAGACACGGCCCAUACUCCUACGGGAGGCAGCAGUAGGGAAUCUUCCACAAUGGGCGCAAGCCUGAUGGAGCAACACCGCGUGAGUGAAGAAGGGUUUCGGCUCGUAAAGCUCUGUUGUUAAAGAAGAACACGUAUGAGAGUAACUGUUCAUACGUUGACGGUAUUUAACCAGAAAGUCACGGCUAACUACGUGCCAGCAGCCGCGGUAAUACGUAGGUGGCAAGCGUUAUCCGGAUUUAUUGGGCGUAAAGAGAGUGCAGGCGGUUUUCUAAGUCUGAUGUGAAAGCCUUCGGCUUAACCGGAGAAGUGCAUCGGAAACUGGAUAACUUGAGUGCAGAAGAGGGUAGUGGAACUCCAUGUGUAGCGGUGGAAUGCGUAGAUAUAUGGAAGAACACCAGUGGCGAAGGCGGCUACCUGGUCUGCAACUGACGCUGAGACUCGAAAGCAUGGGUAGCGAACAGGAUUAGAUACCCUGGUAGUCCAUGCCGUAAACGAUGAGUGCUAGGUGUUGGAGGGUUUCCGCCCUUCAGUGCCGGAGCUAACGCAUUAAGCACUCCGCCUGGGGAGUACGACCGCAAGGUUGAAACUCAAAGGAAUUGACGGGGGCCCGCACAGCGGUG
RNAcentral lists this ribosomal RNA (933 nucleotides) under Limosilactobacillus fermentum. RNAcentral describes it as "bacterial SSU rRNA". It matches the Rfam family "Bacterial small subunit ribosomal RNA", at positions 44 to 934 of the family's 1533-position model. The record is from RNAcentral. Lineage: Bacteria; Bacillati; Bacillota; Bacilli; Lactobacillales; Lactobacillaceae.